UUGCGGUUAAAAAGCUCGUAGUUGGAUUUCUGUUGAGGAUGACCGGUCCGCUCUUUGAGCGCGUAUCUGGUUCAGCCUUGGCAUCCUCUUGGGGAACGCUACUGUGCUUGAUUGCAUGGGGCGGUAUUCAAGACUUUUACUUUGAGGAAAUUAGAGUGUUCACGGCAAGCUAUCGCUUUGAAUACAUUAGCAUGGAAUAAUAAUAUAGGGCGUGAGUUCUAUUUUGUUGGUUUCUAGGACAUACGCAAUGAUUAAUAGGGACAAUUGGGGGCAUUCGUAUUAACGCGUCAGAGGUGGAAUUCUUAGAUUGCGUUACGACGAACUACUGCGAAAGCAUUUGCCAAGGAUGUUUUCAUUGAUCAAGAACGAAAGUAUGGGGAUCGAAGACGAUUAGAUACCGUCGUAGUCUAUACCAUAAACUAUGCCAAUUAGAGAUAGGUAGUCGUUCGUUUUAUGACUCUAUCUGCAUCUUAUGAGAAAUCAAAAUUUUUGGGUUCCGGGGGGAGUAUGGUCGCAAGGCUGAAACUUAAAGGAAUUGACGGAAGGGCACCACCAGGAGUGGAGCCUGCGGCUUAAAUUUGACUCAA
This 587-nucleotide ribosomal RNA is filed under the name uncultured marine eukaryote. Its description in RNAcentral is "SSU rRNA". It matches the Rfam family "Eukaryotic small subunit ribosomal RNA", at positions 613 to 1203 of the family's 1831-position model. The record is from RNAcentral.